RNAcentral lists this ribosomal RNA (253 nucleotides) under uncultured bacterium. RNAcentral's name for it is "partial 16S ribosomal RNA". It matches the Rfam family "Bacterial small subunit ribosomal RNA", at positions 524 to 776 of the family's 1533-position model. The record is from RNAcentral.
UACAGAGGUCCCAAGCGUUGUUCGGAUUCACUGGGCGUAAAGGGUGCGUAGGCGGUCGGGUAAGUCUGACGUGAAAUCUUCAAGCUUAACUUGGAAACUGCGUCGGAUACUAUUCGGCUGGAGGAAUGGAGGGGAGACUGGAAUACUUGGUGUAGCAGUGAAAUGCGUAGAUAUCAAGUGGAACACCAGUGGCGAAGGCGAGUCUCUGGGCCGAUACUGACGCUGAGGAGCGAAAGCGUGGGGAGCGAACAGG